Small nucleolar RNA from Oncorhynchus kisutch (coho salmon), 133 nucleotides. The record is from Ensembl. NCBI's taxonomy places the organism in Eukaryota, Metazoa, Chordata, Actinopteri, Salmoniformes, Salmonidae.
CUUCCCCUCCCUUAGUCCAGUCACUCUGUCCCCAGUGGAGUUGUCUGGCAUUGACAGGGGAUACAGCACCAUGGCUCCCUCACCUCUCUCAUCUAGAACCUCUUACAUGGGGCUUGUGAGAGAGCUGAACAUU